UUAUCGGAGAGUUUGAUCCUGGCUCAGGACGAACGCUGGCGGCGUGCCUAAUACAUGCAAGUCGAGCGGACAGAUGGGAGCUUGCUCCCUGAUGUUAGCGGCGGACGGGUGAGUAACACGUGGGUAACCUGCCUGUAAGACUGGGAUAACUCCGGGAAACCGGGGCUAAUACCGGAUGCUUGUUUGAACCGCAUGGUUCAAACAUAAAAGGUGGCUUCGGCUACUACUUACAGAUGGACCCGCGGCGCAUUAGCUAGUUGGUGAGGUAAUGGCUCACCAAGGCGACGAUGCGUAGCCGACCUGAGAGGGUGAUCGGCCACACUGGGACUGAGACACGGCCCAGACUCCUACGGGAGGCAGCAGUAGGGAAUCUUCCGCAAUGGACGAAAGUCUGACGGAGCAACGCCGCGUGAGUGAUGAAGGUUUUCGGAUCGUAAAGCUCUGUUGUUAGGGAAGAACAAGUACCGUUCGAAUAGGGCGGUACCUUGACGGUACCUAACCAGAAAGCCACGGCUAACUACGUGCCAGCAGCCGCGGUAAUACGUAGGUGGCAAGCGUUGUCCGGAAUUAUUGGGCGUAAAGGGCUCGCAGGCGGUU
RNAcentral lists this ribosomal RNA (597 nucleotides) under Bacillus subtilis. Its description in RNAcentral is "bacterial SSU rRNA". It matches the Rfam family "Bacterial small subunit ribosomal RNA", at positions 1 to 580 of the family's 1533-position model. Lineage: Bacteria; Bacillati; Bacillota; Bacilli; Caryophanales; Bacillaceae. The record is from RNAcentral.